This is a long non-coding RNA of Mercenaria mercenaria, 2529 nucleotides long. RefSeq lists it as uncharacterized. NCBI's taxonomy places the organism in Eukaryota, Metazoa, Mollusca, Bivalvia, Venerida, Veneridae. The record is from RefSeq and is a predicted model, not a curated record. The transcript is spliced from 3 exons.
GUCUCCUCCUAUAUCAAAGUGACACACACAAUUAUUCUUUGAAAAUGAUCGAACUUUGCACUGAAUAGUACAGUGCACUGGUCUGUACUUCUUGGUACUAAAUGCUACUGGACAGGGACUAUGCUACUUAGGUAAACUACUUCUGUUCUGAGAUUUAUCUCUUAACAGGCUGAGCUGAGGGCUGAAUGGAAAACUGUGAAAACUCUCUUUUAACAAGUUAUGAAAGUUUUCCAUUAAGCCCUUGAUGAGGGCAACCUUUUUUUACAACAUCUACCAACUGCACCAUACUGCUGGUAGUUUUACGGAGGUAAGAGGGCUGUUUAAAAAGUACCCCGACUACUUCCAUAAUUUUAAAACUAAUGCAUGAAGAAAUAUUUAAUUCAUAUUAUUUUUAAAAAAAAGACAAAAAAAAAAACAAGAUUUCUGCUACAAAGGUUCCAAAUUUGAAACAGUAUUAUAUAGUUUUUUUAAUAUCUAGGGCAUGACAACCUUGGGGUCAGCAAUUUAAUAUCUUCAAAAUAUCAAGUUUGUUCAAAACAUUUUCAUGCUCAAUUUUUUUUUCAGGCAACUUUUAGUAUAAAAAAACAUUAACUUGUGAAGAAGUAGUAUAAUUAUGAUGUUUUAUUAAAAUAUAAAACUAUCUUUCACUUAAUGUAAAAAAUAAACUGAACUCUAUCAUUAAAAAUCAAGACUUUCUUGGCAGUUGCUUCCCUUGAAAAGAUAUUCUUCAUUGUAUUAUGCUUUACCAAGUUGUCAAAAAGUAUGGCCAACAGUUUCGAACUGAUUUUAUCAUGAUCAUUCUACAGUAACUAUUGUCUAUUUCAAUAAUUCAUAACUUUUUUAAAGUGUUCUCCCGAGGUUUUUUGCAUUAUUUAGACAGAUUAGCUUGGAUUUCUUCAUUCAGUUUGGGUUUAAUGCCAGUUUUCAACAGUAUUUCAGUUAAGUAAUGGUGGUAAGUUAACCUAACCAAUGUUCCUGGAUUUUGUACUUGGUCAAGUACAAACCUGUUCCCUGCAAGUAACUGGCAACUUCCUCACUUGGAAAAUGAUCUGAGCCGCACCAUGAUAAAACCAACAUAGUACAUUUGCGACCAGCAUGGAUCCAGACCAGCCUGCGCAUCCUGGUCAGGAUCCAUGCAGUUCGCUAACAAUUUCUCUAAUUGCUAUAGGCUUUGAAAGCGAACAGCAUGGAUCCUGACCAGACUGCGCAGAUGCUGUGAUCCGGCCCUGUGAUCCGUAGAUCUGUGCUUUCCAUAUUGAGCUAAGCAGACGGGCACCUUGGAUUUGUAGACAUUUCUGUGAAUAUAUUUUAACAUGGGUGACUGCCAUAAAAGAAUCAUUCGUUAUUUCAGACUGUUGCUGAUGUAAAAUUUUCUGAAGUCUCUCGAGUGUUAUGAAAGAGAUUAUUGGAGUUAUGGUGAUUUUCUACAACAAAUAUUGAUGUUAUAACAUUUGCAGAUAUUGAUGCUAUGGUAUUUAAAACCUCUAAAUGUCACCUGGGCAGACAGCUGGUUACAACACGGUUACAAAAUACCUUCUCUAUUUUACUGGUACAGCUUAAGUAGAAGGGAUUACUGACUGGAAUGACUUGAAUACAGCUGUAGAGACAGUUUAAGAUUUUUUUAAGACCCUCAUAGUGAUUUGAAUUAAAAGGACAUGUGCACAAAGUGGUUAAAAGCUUGAGAUUGAAACAAAAAAGUGGUUCUUGUGGGAGGUGAUUGUGAUAGGGGUUGUACUUGGCAUGAAUUAAAGCAUAAAUGUCUUUUAUUCAAUCUGACAUCCAUUCAAUAUUUUACUCUAUAAAAGCCUUGAGCAAUUUACUGAUCUGUCAUAGUUCAGUCCUGAAUUUUGAAGAAUACAAAAAGCAGAAACCAAAUUUAGUUGAUCUGAUCCAUGAUUUUGGAAAUUGGUUAAUGUAUACUAAAAUGUUCAGUAAUUUGGAACUUGAUUGUUUGUUUGAAACGCUUUUCACCUCAAGAUAUGAAAAUUCAUGGAAUACAAACUUGAAAGUAUCACAGGUCUUUGACCUCUGUAUUUAACAUAAAUAUCCUCAAAUCCAAAGAAAAUAAACUUAAUACAAAAGAAAUAUCCUCAAACCCAAAGGGAAUUCAUUUGAAACAAACAAAGUCAUUAACAGUCAGUUCAGUUUGAUGAUUCCUGUCUGGAUUUCCCAGGUGUGCACAGAUAUAUCUAGUAGUAGCGGAUGUUUCUAUUGCAGUUAUUCUAUCAGCGUGAUCUAAAUUUGAAGAUGAAGGCAAUGAGACUGAUCAAGACAGACAAGGGAUCCCUGAAACAAUACCAGGGAAGUAUGACAGAUCCAUCUGUAACCAUUCUGGAGCUAUUUUACAGCAAUCCCUAAAGUAUGUUAUGAGGCAGAAGAAGUAAUGUACGAUCCCGGUAAAUGAUACCCUUGGAAUGGAGGUACUGGAAUGCUUCUAGAACACACGCCACCACGAAUCGCGAUGUUGUCUCGUCAAAACUACCGUGAUCACGUAAUAUAGUCCAAACUUCACCACCUAAACACACCUCC